Molecule: long non-coding RNA, 4245 nt
Organism: Corvus hawaiiensis (hawaiian crow)
Lineage: Eukaryota; Metazoa; Chordata; Aves; Passeriformes; Corvidae
Exons: 3
Source: RefSeq, a predicted model, not a curated record
CUGGCUUUGGAUCCCAGUGCCACGAGGCCUUUCAGCAGAGCGUAUGUACCCGGCAGCUUCAUUGAGUUCAUUCUGCUGGAAGGGAUGGAAGAAGUGGACAUCCAAAUGCACCUUACACAGUGAUUUUCAUGCAAAACACACAGCUGUUCCCUGGGAAUUAGGACUUCGAUUUUCACUGAAGCAUCCAUGACCCCAUGGUGACAAAUCCAAUCAAGUUCCAGUGCUGCAAUCAAGCUAUAUUACUGCUGUGAUUCCGGUGUGUGUUCCCAUGUGCAAAGCCAUUACUGCAUCAUCUCCCUAACACUGCAUUGCAAGUUUUUCUUUUAAUCAUCAGGAGCACAGGGAUCUGGUUUGUUCCUUUUACAAUAUCAUAUGCAUGGGAGAGCACUGGGCGCUCCUGCUCCUCCAGAUAGGAGUCUGGGUAAUUUGCUUGCUCAUUGUUUGGAAAAGCACAGAAAUUCACCUUCAUUUUCUAAGAUUUUCUGUAGGAGCCUCAUGACAUAUUCCAAGGGCUGGUAGCAGGGGGACAGCUAUGAAUGUCACACCAGCUCCCUUUCAUAUAAGAAAUCCUUAAGCUAAUUUGAUCCAUAUAUUCAUGGUUUCAGGUUAGUUCUUAAUGCACGGUUAUUGCCUCACACUCUCAUCUUGAAAGGCAGAGAGGUACAAGAGUUCACAGCUUUUCCCACUGUUGUAUUUUUCCUCCUUUCCUACACGUCAACAUAAUUAAACCCCUUGUUUUUGAGGGAGUGCUCAGAUCCAGCACAGCUCCAACAAUCUGCCCACACCCGGGUGAAGGCUGCAGGAAAAUAUAUCAUCUCAAGGAUGGAAUUUUGUGCAACUAAAGUGAUGAGGCCCAGAAAAAACCCCAGCUCCUUGUGCUUGUCCUGUGAACAUGCAGGGAGGUCAGAAUGACAGGCAGUAGCUCCCAGCACCCUUCCACGCUUGGCCAUGAGGAUAAAAUACUCCUGAGCUGGUAAAAAGCCCGGCAGCCUCCUCCAGGUUAGAGCUAUCAAUCAUCUCCAGCACAAGCUCCACACAGUGUUUGCAGAGAAAUCCAAGAGCCCUAAACCAUCCCAGCCAGCUUUACUAAUUAUUUUCUCUUUUGCUUUUACAUGAGUGAAGUUACCUGAGCCACAGCUCAGGUGUGCUCACAUUUUCUAGAUGUGCCUUCUAAUUGGACUGGCUCAAAAUAAGCACCCAAAAAGCCCCAGGAAGACUCUUAAUUAUUCUGCAAAAUAAGGUUAUUCAAACUUUUCAAGUGGCUAUGUUCUAUUUUCUCUGCUCCACAAAUUCUGACUCAUUCAUAUAUAUUAUUUUCCUCCUUCCAACUAAGAGUUGUGUAUAAAUGGAAGAAGAGUUCAAAAAUGGCACCACUGCUGUUAGAGCAUGAGCAGACUAUACAAGCAGCACUUUUUUAAAAUACGUUUCUGGAGUGCCUAGAAACUCCAAUGAGGAGCAAGCCCUUACUAUGCUAAGUUGUACAGAAACACAGAAAAAGCCUUACUGCUGCCUCACAGACUUGUUUGUUCUUUUUACUCCAACAUCUUUACUCACUGCCAUACUGCUGCUGGCUGGGACGAUAGUUUUAGCCUCUCCUACAGUAGAGAGUAGAAAUUAGUAGGAAAAAAAUUGCUUUUAUAGUUACUGCUUGUAAAUGUAGUUACUAGUAGCUGUACUAGUUACAGUGACAACUAAUUGCUGAUAAAAACUAGACUUUCUGCCUUUUUUGAAGCUAGAAUCAGUUGUAAUGGUAUAAGAAAAGAAAGACCAAACAGACCUCUCAUUAUUAGGUGGAAGUUAUUGGAAUCUAUUACAUCAGAAGUUUAUAUUCAAGGUAUCAAUGGCUCAUGGUCCCAUUUCCCAAAAGUUUGUCAAAUGAGUAAUAAUGUACUUCAUCAUUAAACUUACAGCACAAAGCUAUAUCCUGCAGCAAAAUUAAAUCUAGCUUAAAUCAGUUUAUUUCUCCAUACCUUCCACUUUUGCAGGCUGAAAUGCUCUCUUAGUGCCUCCCUUUCUAAUCAGUGCCGUCAGCUGAAGCUUUCAAAUGUCACACAGCAUUUAGCCCAUGAUGGGGAUUAUUUCUUUCAAGUAUUUUAAGCACAAAUAAAACCAGCCAUGAUGCAAACGGCAUGAGUAAAGGGUGCAGUGUGCAAUCUGCAUUGCCUGGAACAGGCACGUGUCAGCUAAGCCCUUGGUGCUGUCAGGAAGCAAGUCUCAAACUGUUGGAUCAGGAUCUGCUCAUCCUCCAUGGGGCUGCCCAGGUGAUCAGCCCUGCUGGGUGCUCACUUGGGUUUCUCAGGGCAAAAGGAGUAGGCAGAGAGAUGAAGGAAUGCUAUUUUGGGCAGCAACCAUGAAAGAUGGCAUGACUGAGACAUGGCUCUUACAUCAACACUUUUAUCCCGUUUUACAAAGCACCUUCUCCUAACAACCCACCCAUACCAACAGCUGGGUUGUGUUUGAGCUCCGCGGCUGCUAUGUUCCUGCUGGAGCUUAAAUGUGCUUUGUAUCCAUCUCAGGGAGUAACAGGCCCCUCCCUGCUGCAGGUGUGAGCUGGUCCCUGCCUGUAGGAUGCUUGUUUGCAGUAGGGAAGGUCAUGCCUAUAGGGACACUGUCAGGAGGUAACAUCUUCCUUAGAAAGGCAUUGUGCUCCACUGGCUGCUGGAGCUCCUUUUCCAGAGCCUUCCCUAGCUCUGAAUUGUCUUCUGCAACAGUGUGCAAAUUCUGAAUGCCACAGACUCGUCACUUUUAUCUCUUUCUUUAAAAGUCAUCUUAGAAAUGAUGGCUGCACAUCCAUAUUAUUUGUUGGGACCCUUACUAAAUGUUUGCAUGACAUUAACCUACUGGCUCAUGUUUCAACCCCAAACAUGAACAUCAGCAACGUUGUUCCAGGCAAUAUCACAUGAAUCCUGCUGCUUUCUGGGAAAUUUAGGAAUGCACAUUUGAUUUCACUGCUGCUCUUGCUUCUACUACACAACACCUACCUUUUCACUUAAACUUCUCUGAUACAUGGAAUGAUUUUGGUGCAUGGAUACUGGAGGUGAAGAAAAUUCAGUCUUAAUAUGACAAAAACAACCCAAAGUGUAACAGUUCUAGCCCUACCAGAUGUGACAGACCAGGGAGAAUUAAAGAAAAUAUUUUUCCUUAAAAAAAAAAUAAAGUAUUCUCCUUCUGCAGCAUUUCAGAGCCAGGAUGGCACUAGGAACAAACAUCUGCUUCCAUUUUGAUUUUGGAUCAGGAUCCUCUCUGUAGGAGUUCAAAACAGGCAUCUGGAGUUGAUCCAAAGUCUGUUUGGAAAUCAGUGGGAGCCUUUACACCAUUUCUGGUGUGUGUUGGAGCAGCUCAUUGGCUCCCAAAGAACAAUUGUAAAGAUGAAGAACAUCCAAACUCUAACUCAGUUUUAUUGAUUCACAAACAACAUUUACUGUGCAAAAAUGUUUAUCAUGGCUUUUACUUCUUUAUCAGGGUUUUCCCAUAUCUUGACAUACUAAAUUACUGCUGGAAAACAGAGCAACAAGGACUGAAUCAACAGCUGCACUUUAGUGAUAAGGGAUCAAUUACCAAGUUGUGAGGGCUAUUGCUGUUCAGCGUCUGCUAACUAAACUAAACUUCUGUGGCUGUGAAGGCCUAACUCCAACUAGCCAUAGCAGUACUUCAUACCAUACAUUUAUGGAGUUUACUAUCAUCUCUUUAAUUCUGAUGCAGCAUUUGAAAAAGAGAGAAGGAAGAGUUAGUGUUUGCUGAUGCUCAGUAUGGCCCAGUGAAUAGCAACUGUUCCAACUUAGAUUGAACCAGUAAAUGAUCACUCAAAAACAUAAUUAAGUAUAUUUGCCAUACGUGCAACUGCGGGUUGGGGAGUUGCCUGUUCCUUCCAUGACAGACAAGUGCUAUGAAUAUGUUCCAGACAUCAAUCCAUACUCUCAGGUGUUGAGAUACUCAGGCAGAAGCAUGAAAACCCUGCUGUUGUUGCACAUUAGAAGAACAACAUGAAACCAGCAGUCUUGGUGAAAGUUGUAGAGAAACACUGCUCUUCAAGUGUAUUGGGUUUGUGUGGCCAGGCUUUGGUAUGGGGGGGCUACAGGGGUGGCUUCUGCUUCCUCCAUGUCCAGUAAAGCCAGGAUGGAGCUGUCGCUGGCCAAGGCUGGGCCAAUCAGGAAUGGUGGUGACACCUCAGGGAUAACAGAUUUAAGAAGAAAAAAAGUUAUUGCACAGUUGUAAUUGGGUCCAAGGCAGAGCAGGGUGAGGAUA